RNAcentral lists this ribosomal RNA (467 nucleotides) under uncultured bacterium. RNAcentral describes it as "partial 16S ribosomal RNA". It matches the Rfam family "Bacterial small subunit ribosomal RNA", at positions 29 to 507 of the family's 1533-position model. The record is from RNAcentral.
ACGAACGCUGGCGGCGUGCUUAACACAUGCAAGUCGAACGGAAAGGCCCUGCUUUUGUGGGGUGCUCGAGUGGCGAACGGGUGAGUAACACGUGAGUAACCUGCCCUUGACUUUGGGAUAACUUCAGGAAACUGGGGCUAACACCGGAUAGGAGCUCCUGCUGCAUGGUGGGGGUUGGAAAGUUUCGGCGGUUGGGGAUGGACUCGCGGCUUAUCAGCUUGUUGGUGGGGUAGUGGCUUACCAAGGCUUUGACGGGUAGCCGGCCUGAGAGGGUGACCGGCCACAUUGGGACUGAGAUACGGCCCAGACUCCUACGGGAGGCAGCAGUGGGGAAUAUUGCACAAUGGGCGGAAGCCUGAUGCAGCAACGCCGCGUGCGGGAUGACGGCCUUCGGGUUGUAAACCGCUUUCGCCUGUGACGAAGCGUGAGUGACGGUAAUGGGUAAAGAAGCACCGGCUAACUACGUG